Long non-coding RNA from Rattus norvegicus (Norway rat), 4501 nucleotides. RefSeq lists it as uncharacterized. The record is from RefSeq and is a predicted model, not a curated record. Lineage: Eukaryota; Metazoa; Chordata; Mammalia; Rodentia; Muridae.
GAGACGGGUCUUGCGUUACUGACGGCCACUCGCGACCCCGACCGAUCGCGAUUGCGGCGGUGCCCGUCUUCAGCCUCUACGCUGCCUCAAGCCGGAAGCGCCCAAGUCAGAGGCCUUGGGUCUUAAUAUGGAGCCAUGACUGUCUUGGAACUUACUAUGUAGACCAAGUUGACCUUGAACUCACUGAGAUCUACAAGCCUUUGUCUCUGAGUUUGCAAUUAAAGGCAUGCACCACUCUGGCAAACCACCACAUAUUUUGAGACCCCAAUUAUCUUACUAUGUGCAUGUGCACAGAUCAAUUAGUGCUUUUACUAAACUGGGUGUAUUUAAAUUUUGUUUUUGGCUUUUUGUGUGUGGUAGUUUGAAUCGAAAUGGCCCACAUAGGCUCAGGUUUCAGUUCCUGGUCCCUAGUGAGUACAACUGUGGGAAAGAUUAAGAAGUAUGGCCUUGGGGUUGGGGAUUUAGCUCAGUGGUAGAGCGCUUGCCUAGGAAGCGCAAGGCCCUGGGUUCAGUCCCCAGCUCCGAAAAAAAGAACCAAAAAAAAAAAAAAAGUAUGGCCUUGUUGGAGGAAGUGUGUCACUUGUGGUGGGUAACCAUUCCCAGUAAGCUCUCUCGCUGUAAAUGUAAAGUCCCAGCUACUGCAUGCCUGGCAUCACACUCCUCUCCACGAUGGUCGAGAUUCUGAAACUGUAAGCGAGCUCCAACUAGACGUUUUUAUAAAUUGUUUUGGGCUUUGUCUCUCUUCACUACAGAAACUAAGACUGCAACCACGGACGCACAUGUGCCACUCGGGUGUAGCCCUACAGUCUACCUUGUUUAAAACUGAUUCUUGUUUUGCUACCACAGAUAGGCUAGCCCGUCUGCAAACCUCCAGGGACUCUUUUCUCCCUAGUACAUCUCUCACUGUAGGAACACUGCAUGCCACUGGAAGCCAUCUGGGUUCUAAGGAUUCCAACUCACACAGUCAGGCCAGGUGACCUAGUCUACCCACUGACCUAUCCUGAGUGCCCACUAUGGAGGUCUCUGCUUUUUCAUGUAUGAAGGGAUCUUGCUGUGCUGCUAGUCUCCAUUUACAGGCUCAAGUGAUUAUCUCAGUUCAGUCUCCCAUGUAGCUGCUAGGACAGGCAUGUGACACGUGACACGGAGUGUGCUUUUCUGUUUGUUUUUCAAGACAGGGUUUCUCUAGGGAUCCCUGGGAAUCCUUCUCUAGACCAGGCAGAGAUCCAUCUGCCUCUGCCUCCCCAGUGCUGGGAUUAAAGGCACGAGCCACCACUGCCUGGCUGUGACAGUGUAUCAUAAUUGCAAGUCUUUGGUUUUUGGCUAUAGGGUGUAGUUUGAGGCUGUGUCUCACUCUUUACCUAGGCAGUCCUUGGGUUUAUGGUGAUCGGCCUGCCUAUACCUCCCAUAUGCUGGGAUUACAAACAUGAGGCAUCAAACUGGCUUUAGGUCUUUUUGUUUUUCUUUUUACUUUUUUUUUUUUUUUGGACACCGGUGUCUUUUAUGUAGCCCAGGGUGAGCUACAACUUAAGAUUCCCCUUCCUUUGAGACCCCAGUGCUGUAAUUGGUAGCAUGCAGUACCUACCCACCUAGGAAAGGUGAUUCCCAGAGCUGACGGUCAAUAUAAACAAUCCCUUUUAAAGAACGGAGAAGGGGAAAAGACUGAAGAAGGAAAUGAACAUCUGACAUGGGCAUAGCCAUGUGAAGGACCAAAAAGCCUCAGCCCCAUGGGAGUGGCAAAGCUUUCCUUAGCUGAGGCUCAGAGAGGGGCAAAGCCUUCCUCAGGUCCUAGUUUGAAUGCUGACGGUGUGCCCCUACAUAGACUAGCUAGACCCUCCUCUUUGUUUAUCUGUAAUAGCUCUGUUUCCUGUUCGGCUGUAUGCAAUAACCCCUCUCCCUGGUCAGCUGUGUGUUAUCAACGUGCAGAACUCCUCCAUCUCAGGGAGUCUGUGUCCAUGUGUCUGCUGUUUCUUUAGAAGUUUUCAUUUCUUCUUUUCUCUUGUCUCCCCUCGUCAGCACCCCUGGACCCAAGCUGUUCAAGGACCAGGCAAACUGGCUUUGAGGGCUGUGGGUCCAUGCUGGAACGUCUAACAUAAGUAUGCUCUCAGAACUGACAUAAUUGAGAAUGGAGCAGAGCAACUGAGAAAGUAAUGGCAUGGCAAAGUGGUUGCUCAAUUUAGUGAAAGAUUCUAAUUUCUAUAUAAUCAAUAUAUCAGCAACCUCAUGCUAGCUCACAACUAUCUAUCUGUAAUGAGAUCUGAUGCCCUCUUCUGUUAUGUCUGAAGAUGGUGACAGUGUACUCAUACACAUUAAUAUAUAUUAAUAUACAUAUUAAUAUAUAUUUAUAUAUAAAACAACACAAAUCAGGAUGGUCAUGAGAAACAGGAGAGCUCUGUAAGGACCCAUAGAUAAACAUUUUUGUGUGUAUUUCUGUCAUAAAUGUGAAUGUUGUUACUGUAUUGUGCUUUAAUCAUUAAUUGAUUUGUGUGUCUCUCCAGUAAAUCCUGAAUUCCUUGAUGUUAAAAAAAAAAGAAGGAAAAGCUAUAGGGAGAGGGAGAGGGAGACAGACAGAGACAGAGACAGAGACAGAGACAGACUAUCACUGGAUGUGAUAUAGGCCAGGUACUCAGGGAAAAAUCAAAGAAGAAUCCAAGUUGAAGAGCAAGUGAGGUGGAACAUGUCCAUACAUCGUCCUGUACUUAGGAGAGGAUGGCAAGAGGAUUGCACUAAGUUUGAGGACAGACCAGCCUGGGCUGCACAAUGAAAACUCUCGAGAAGGGAGGUAUGGACGGUGACACGCCUGAGCAAUUAAGAGCACUGGCUGCUCUUCCAGGGGACCCAGGCUUGAUUCCCAGCAACCACAUAACAGCCACAAGCACCAGCAAUUCCAGUUUCAGGGGAUCUUCUGUCUCCUCUAGCACCCGGUGUACAGACAAAACACUCAUACACCUAUGAAGCACAGCUUAGAAGAAACCUCGGAGAAACCAGGGGUUAAUCACACCAGGGUUGUUAUUUUCUUCAAAGCCAGGGAAUGAAUGAUGCCUGACCCCUGAAGUGCUGGAGUGACCAACAACCUGUGACCCUCUGCUCAUCAGUUAGGAGGCCGCCUCCACCUGACCCCCAUAUCCUGAGCUCUGCCUCUCAGCAAACAGAACACAGCCUUGUGAGAAAGGCCCCAUGUGCGUAUUUUGCAUUCACCAACAGAAUCUAUCCUUAUGCUAACCCAGACCCUUCCUCAUAGCCAGCAGUUCCCAAACUGUAGGUCACAUAAUCAGACAGCCUUCAUAUCAGAUAUUUACAUUUCGAUUCAUCAAAGUAGCAAAAAUACAGUUUUGAAAUAGCAACAAAAAAAUUCUAUGCCGGGGUCACCACACCAAUCUUAGGAAGGUGGAGAACCACUGGACUAGGUCCUAGUCAUGAGCUCUAUCACCAGCCCAAAAAUUUACUCUUAUUGUAAAAGGUCACAAGAGCUUUGGUUCUUUGCAAAGAAAUUUUAGUGUAGCCAGCCCUGAAGCUUUGUUAUGAGACUUACUGCAUGGAGACUUUCCCUCACAGUUUCACUAUGUCUCAAUGUGUAAGGACAAUAAACCACUAAGCCAGUCCCCAAAGGGCAAUGAUCCAGUCCUACAAAGAUGGCACUGUCUCCAGUCUCAUUCUUCAGCUCUUGAGGACUGUGUGGCUGUCUCCUACCCAACUAACCAACCCAGCCGGCAGGCUUAGAGGAGGAAUGUCCCUUGCCACACCAACCCCAGUAGAUUCUAUGUGACAAGUUCCACAGACUGAAGCGAAAACUUCAAAAGAAGGAGGCCUCCUGGAACCGGUUGUGGAACUCUUGACCGGAGAAAAAUACUGAGCCAUGGUUCUCAAGGCAAUUUGUCUGUCCUAUCUUUUUCUAUUCUCUUUCUUAUUCAUGAGAUGUUCCUGAGAGCCUAGACUAGGACUUUAUGGCCUCAUAUCUGGAGAAGUAGGUGUUUUACUUCACAAAUCAUUUACAAAUCACACAAUAGUGGUAAGACACAUAACUUUUCCAACAACAAAUGAUUUUUGUAUGCGUGUGUUGUUGGAGGUGGGCUUGGCAUAUUGGUAAAGAAAGCAUUAUUUUAAGAGAAGAAUUAAAAAUAGUUUUAAAUUAUACUAAAUGCUAGAUAAUGAUUGCCCAUAAAAAUGUACCAACUUGUUUAGGAAUUAUACUUUACUAAUAAGUGCCCAGAAAGGUCUUAUGAACCUGCUCUUGCAAGUAUGCCAUCAGCACCCAGUGAUUCUUGUGCUUUAUUGUGCCAAGUGAUAACGACGUUACCUGCUUCAUCCAUGACUGCUUCAUUGAACACACUUUUUAGAAGUUGUAAUACUUGAAUGAUUUUGUAUUUUCUUAUGCCAAAUUAAUAUGAUAAUUGUUCUACUGGACUGCUUCACUGAACACAUCUUUUCAGAGUUGUAAUACCUGUUUCUUUAAGCAUAAAAACCCUUGCUUGAGAGCUGUGGAAUACACUCAGAUUCAAACUGC